Podarcis lilfordi (Lilford's wall lizard) is the source of this 76-nucleotide non-coding RNA. NCBI's taxonomy places the organism in Eukaryota, Metazoa, Chordata, Lepidosauria, Squamata, Lacertidae. The record is from the annotation of a GenBank genome assembly.
CCCUCUGUGGUGCAAUGGGUCAAUGUGUUUGGCUGUUAACCAGAAGGUUGAUGGUUUGAGCCCACCAUGGGAUGGU